UUUGGCCCGUCCCGUACAUUAAGGUUACUGUAAAGUGAAAAAAAUGUGAAAUAUCAUUUUUCAAAAUAAUUGUGGCAUCAUGUUUGUAUUUAGGUUUCAGGUUGCUUACUAUAAGAUGAACUUAAACCCAAAGUUGAGGCACUCAACUCCCAUUAUUUUCUGAGUUAUUGAAGUUUACGUAACAAAGUUAGUCGUUAACUAAAAAUUCUCCUUGCGAUGAACCAAAAGUUGUCGAGACUUGAUUUUUGUUUUACAAGUUCUUUAUUGAUUUGCCUAUCUCGUAGCAAAGCCGGAUUUCCAAAAUUCCAACAUGAAACAGGAAUUUUUCUCAAAAAACACAAAAAAACACCAAAAAAUUGCAAAAUUUUACCAAAUUUCAGUAAAAAAUUCAAAACGCAUUUUCCAAACAGAAAUUGCAGCUUAUCUAUGCAUAUAUUGUGAAAUCCGGCUUUGCUAGUCUGUUUGCAUGUUCAUUGGGCCUUAAAAUAAAAAAUCACACCUUCGUAAACUUUUUGGUUCAUCGCAAGGAGAAUUUUUAGUAAACGACUAAAAUAACACUAAAACCCUCAUAACUUUGGAACUAAUGGGAGUUGGGAGUCCAGUCUGUGGCUGUAAAAGUUUUUUAUAGUAAGCAACUAAAUCACCAAAAACCAAAGCACUGCCACCUAUACUUUAGAAGAUAGUUUUUUCACCUUACAGUAACCUUA
Thrips palmi is the source of this 707-nucleotide long non-coding RNA. RefSeq lists it as uncharacterized. NCBI's taxonomy places the organism in Eukaryota, Metazoa, Arthropoda, Insecta, Thysanoptera, Thripidae. The transcript has 3 exons. The record is from RefSeq and is a predicted model, not a curated record.